GUACACGCUGUGACUAGCAUAUCAAUAAGCGGAGGAAAAGAAACUAACAAGGAUUCCCUAGUAACGGCGAGUGAAGCGGGAAGAGCUCAAAUUUGAAAUCUUAAAGGGUUUCCCUUUACGAAUUGUAGUUUAAAGAAGUGUUUCCUGUUGAGGUUUUGGUAAAAGUUCUUUGGAAUAGGACAUCAUAGAGGGUGAGAAUCCCGUAUUUGACCUUUACUUUCAACUUUGUGAUACACUUUCAAAGAGUCGGAUUGUUUGGGAAUGCAGUCCAAAAUGGGUGGUAAAUUUCAUCUAAAGCUAAAUAUUGGCGAGAGAGCCGAUAGCGAACAAGUACCGUGAGGGAAAGAUGAAAAGAACUUUGAAAAGAGAGUUAAACAGUACGUGAAAUUGUCAAAAGGGAAGCGUUUGACACCAGUGUUGUUUUUCUGAAAAUCAAUUAAAGAACUGUUUAUGCUAAGUUGUUUAGACUUUAUCAGCUAACUGUUUAGUUUUGAGCUUUUCUUUAAUGCACUUUUCAGUUAACAAGUCAACAUCAAUUUCUUUUGCUGUAAAAAAGCUUGAGGAAGGUGGCUUGAGAUUCGUCUUAAGUGUUUAUAGCCUCUUGCCUAUGCAGUCGGAGAGAUUGAGGUCUGCAGCGUAGAUCCUUCGGGGCUAAAUGCAUUUGUGCUAAGUUAUAGCAUUUCAUAGACAACUUGUUGACUAUGAUUUGUCUUGUAGCUUACUCGCUUAUGUUAUUUUACCUACGCUUAGGAUGUUGACGAGACUGUCGAUCU
Molecule: ribosomal RNA, 773 nt
Filed under: uncultured Neocallimastigales
Lineage: Eukaryota; Fungi; Neocallimastigomycota; Neocallimastigomycetes; Neocallimastigales
Description: partial large subunit ribosomal RNA
Rfam family: Eukaryotic large subunit ribosomal RNA
Source: RNAcentral